CGUCCCGCCGGCGACCGGCGCACGGGUGAGUAACACGUAUGCAACCUGGCCGCCACAGGGGGAUAACCCGCGGAAACGCGGCCUAAUACCCCGCGACGCCACCGGAGGGCAUCCUCCGGUGGCCAAAGGAGCGAUCCGGUGGCGGAUGGGCAUGCGGCGCAUUAGCUAGACGGCGGGGUGACGGCCCACCGUGGCGACGAUGCGUAGGGGUUCUGAGAGGAAGGCCCCCCACACUGGGACUGAGACACGGCCCAGACUCCUACGGGAGGCAGCAGG
This 276-nucleotide ribosomal RNA is filed under the name uncultured bacterium. Its description in RNAcentral is "partial 16S ribosomal RNA". It matches the Rfam family "Bacterial small subunit ribosomal RNA", at positions 81 to 354 of the family's 1533-position model. The record is from RNAcentral.